Small nuclear RNA from Laticauda laticaudata (blue-ringed sea krait), 98 nucleotides. Lineage: Eukaryota; Metazoa; Chordata; Lepidosauria; Squamata; Elapidae. The record is from Ensembl.
CUUGAGAAUAAAGUUGUUAGGAAUCUGGAAUGAAACAGAGAAGAUUAGCAUGACCCCUGCACAAAGAAUAUGCAAAUCAUUAGUAGCAACUAAAUAAU